This 848-nucleotide ribosomal RNA is filed under the name Cornufer bufonulus. RNAcentral's name for it is "partial 16S ribosomal RNA". It matches the Rfam family "Bacterial large subunit ribosomal RNA", at positions 1536 to 2580 of the family's 2925-position model. Lineage: Eukaryota; Metazoa; Chordata; Amphibia; Anura; Ceratobatrachidae. The record is from RNAcentral.
UAAAACGCGUUAUAGCCUCCAACUUCAACUAAUGUAUUAUACCAUAUAACUCUUAUAACCCUUUACCACUAUUGGAUGAUUCUACAAUUCUAUAGAAGACAUUAUGCUUAAACUAGUAACAAGAACAUGAAAUUCUCCUAAAUGUAAACAUAAGCCGUAAUAGACAAACCAACGGCAAUUAACGUCAAUAAAUUUUAUAUAUUAACCUUCAUGAAAAACUUAUAUAAUCUUACGUUAUCCUCACACAAGAACAUUUCAGGAAUGAUUAAAAGGAGAAGAAGGAAUUCGGCAAACAUUAACCCCGCCUGUUUACCAAAAACAUCGCCUCUUGUUAAGAUAUAAGAGGUCUAGCCUGCCCGGUGAUUAUUAAACGGCCGCGGUACUCUAACCGUGCUAAGGUAGCACAAUUACUUGUCCCUUAAAUGGGGACUAGAAUGAACGGCAUCACGAGGGUUAUACUGUCUCCUUCUCCCAAUCAGUGAAACUGACCUCCCCGUGAAAAGGCGGGAAUGUUAAUACCAGACGAGAAGACCCCAUGGAGCUUUAGACAAUAGACACAUUUUAACACCUCACAAUAAGUCCUUAAUUUAUGUCCUUAAGUCUUAGGUUGGGGCGACCAUGGAGUAAAAAUUAACCUCCACACUGAAUGGAUUUUCCUUAUUUUAGAGCUACACCUCCAAAAAACAGAAAACUGACACUUACUGAUCCGGAACCCGAUCAAUGAACUAAGUUACCCUGGGGAUAACAGCGCUAUCUACCUCAAGAGUUCAUAUCGACAGGUGGGUUUACGACCUCGAUGUUGGAUCGGGGUUUCCUAGUGGUGCAGCCGCUACAUAAGGUUUGUUUGU